CAGAGACAGAGAAAUGUCACAUUUUCUUAACUAGUUUACUUGAAUUGAUGCUUAUAAAAUCAAAAUGUAUAGGAAUAUGUGUUCAAAAUCUUCUACAGGAAUUGGAUGAUGGCAGAUUAGAGCCAGAACAUUUUUAUUAUAAUAUAGAAAAACUAUUGAAUUCUUUACCACAAUCAAAUCCUAUGACAUUCCUUAAAGUAUACACAUUCUCAUUAUUUUGAAUAUAACUGUUUAAUAUAAUGUUUUAAUAUUUGAAUUUAUACAGAAAAGUGUACCACUCAUGAG
Non-coding RNA from Cinara cedri, 285 nucleotides. The record is from the annotation of a GenBank genome assembly. Lineage: Eukaryota; Metazoa; Arthropoda; Insecta; Hemiptera; Aphididae.